RNAcentral lists this long non-coding RNA (6089 nucleotides) under Sus scrofa (pig). RNAcentral's name for it is "lncRNA (ENSSSCG00000043655.2)". The stretch from base 5976 to 6087 matches the Rfam family "U5 spliceosomal RNA". Lineage: Eukaryota; Metazoa; Chordata; Mammalia; Artiodactyla; Suidae. The record is from RNAcentral.
UUUUUUUUUUUUUUUUUUUUUAGGGCUAUACCCAUGGCACAUGGAGGUUCCCAAGCUAGGGGUUGAAUUGGAGCCACAGCUGUUGGCCUCCGCCACAGCUGCAGCCACGCUAGAUCCUUAACCCACUGAUGGAGGCCAGGGGUCCAACCCGCCACUGCAUGGUUCUUAGUCACUUCUGCUGCACCACAGUGGGAACUCCUGGUUCUCCCCCUAAAAUAGGGCACGAGAGACUGCCUGUCUGUGAGCAUCCAACAAACACUGGCUGCCGGGGUUAUGGAGGGCUUGCUGAGCAGGUUGGGAUCCUUAGGAGCAUAGACGUGGGGGGCCAGCCUCCCAGACAUGGGGGAGAUCUUGGGCUUCACUUGAUUGUCUUGGGGUGUGUCCCCGGGAGCCGUUUAUUGGAAAUGCAGCCACUGAAGCUCGGGAGGAUGAUGCGGGACCCAGGCUGGGAACAGCAGCUCCAGAGUGGUCCAGUCCCCCUCUUCCUGGUGAACUCCAACCGGAGUGGCCCGCAGGGUGUGAGGAUGAAAUGCUGACACCCAUAACACUCGGAGCCUCGUCGCUCCCACGCGGGGAGUCCCCGGCUUCUAACUGCGCCUCAUUCAUUGGUUGAUUCGGGCAGGGUUUGGGGGUCAGAGGUCACAGUGAUGAACAAAACAGAGUCCUCAACCUUCACGAAGGUCACAUUCUAGUGGGGAGGAUGGAUCCAGUAACCACAUAAGCAAAUCAAUUUGAAUGAACUGUUGGGGCGUGCAGAACAAUAAAGCAGCCUAAGGGGACAGAGGUCUUUUGGGGUGACCAGGAAGAUGACAGAUGAGCAAAGCCCCUAGUCUAGUGAGGGGGGACAAGGAAGAAAAUGUUAGGGGCGUGUGUUCCAGGCGGAGGUCUCGAGGUGGGGCUGGACCCGGUUGGGUGGGAAGGCCUGCAGGUGUUGGGGGAGGGGCGGAUGGGAAAUGAGGCCAAAGUGGAAGCUACCAGAUGUUUUAAACAGGCAUUAUUGGCAGAUCUCCCGGCAGGUUUAGGUGUCCUUCCCCCAUCUGUGCUGGGUGUGUGCACAGCCAUUGUAGUGGUCACCCACGGGGCUAGGAACCCCCCGCCCCAGGAGCCCUUGAGCUCAGGGACCCUGUCGAUUUGGCUCCUCCCCGGCACCUGGCAUGCAGUCCGUGCGUCACAGACGUACAGGUGAAUUUGACGGCUGAUGGGCGCUGUGUCUGGGGGCGGUGGGGCUCUCACACCCCAGACACCAUGGUAAGAAUGUCAAGCAUUUCAUCAUCCCGUUCUCUCAUCACAGGAGCCCCACCCCUGGGUGUUGUCCCCAUUCUCUAGAUAAGGAAAUAGCCUCCGAGGCUUCUCCAAGUCUCAAGGAUACACACCUAGGAGCCUGCUGAGCUGAGGUUGGAAGGCAGGACCUUCGGGGCGGUGGUGCUUUGAUGGCAGAGCUGGAAGAAGCUGUGGUUUCUGCCCUUCCCAGGGCUGGUGUGUGCACGUCCCAGGGUCUCGGGGUUGCUUGCCCUUCUGGGUCCCGACAGGGCCACUUGGCUUCCCUGCCAGCCUAUGGCAUCCCGUGGGGCUGUCCCUCAGCCCUUCAUAAUCCACAAAUGGAGAAGUGGCACUUAGAGCGAAUUUAUGCAGGUGGCAGCAGUGUAAGGCGUGAGAAUAAAGCUUUGGAGCUGCUGCACAUAAACGGGAGUGUAAAGGAAAAGCUUUUUAUUUGGUUUCCGAGCCAGACUUUGAGAAGCCAGUGGGCUGUGCGGUCUGGAAGGAGGCGUUCCGGGCGGUGGGUCGGAACGGGGGCCGUUUGCAAGGCAGGAGGAGCGUGGCGCUUGUGCAGCUGGAACAGCCAAGAGCCUGGGGUGUCAAUACACAGGACACAGAAGAAAGCCUUUACCCAAAAGGUGGAAGGCGGGGAGAAGGGGAAAGGCAGCGCCUCUCCGGCGUGUUUGAGGAGGAGCACCCUUGAGGUAACCCAUGUUUGGCAGCUUUUAUAACUUCCUCCCCGUAAUGGGCUGGGCAAGCCCAGAACAGGCUGAGGUUUUAUUUUCAUGUAAUGACGCCGAGUGGACCAGGGGCAGCUCUCCAGCAGCGGCUCGCCUGGCGCCCUGCCCGUGGAGGGAGGCAGGAGCCCCUGGGUCCAGGGCAGUGAGACUGCCCCCCCUGCCUGCUGCUGGGGAAGUGGGGCAGGAUGCCCGGCCGCCUCUGGAUGCUGGCUUGGCUUAGUGUGGUCCUUUCACGUAAGGGCCCCUAGGGCCGGUGCCAGGGAGGGAGGUGGCGGCAGAGUGGGCAGGCAGGUGAGCGCUGGUCGAUGCUGAGGUUGGUGGGGGGGACCUGCAAUGCAGCGGUAGUCCGGGGAACCUCCAAAUGAUCUUCUUUGCGCUUCUGGUCGCCGCUUUUGCCAAGGUGCUUUCCACAAACUGCACCGAUACUCUCUUCUCUUUGGUAACGGGUACAUGGGUGUGUGCGAGGUAAUUUGGAUGGGAGGUUACGGGUGUGGUUAAAAAUGGUCUCCAUGGAGUUCCCAUCGUGGCGCAGUAGUUGACAAAUCUGACUAGGAAUCAUGAGGUUGCGAGUUCGAUCCCUGGCCUUGCUCAGUGGGUGAAGGAUCCGCCGUUGCCGUGAGCUGUGGUGUAGGUCGCAGACGCCGCUCGGAUCCUGUGUUGCUGUAGCUCCGGCGUAGGCUGGUGGCUACAGCUCCAGUUCGACUCCUAGCCUGGGAACCUCCAUAUGCUACAGGAGCGGCCCUAGAAAAGGCAAAAACAGAAAAAGGUCUCCAUGACGCUUUUGACCUGCAGCAAUUUUGAGAGCCACAGGCUCGGGGAGCGCCCAACUAGCUACUUGGAGACACUAACCCAACUGCAACUUCCCUUAGAUGAGGGUAGGAUUUACUGUUUGACGUUUUUGUGACAGACUCUUUCUCCCUGUUUGCUCCCAUGUGUUAUACGGGAACAAUAUGUAUUUGAAGGUUUUUUUUCCAAGUAUUUUUUAUCAUAAGAGCUUGAGGUUUGUGUUUAACCCAUGGUAAUUGGGGGAAAAUGAGAGUUCAGCAAAAAGAAGAUCAGAGUCAUUUGAGUCCUGUCAUUCAGUCCUAUGUAAAAAAUAAACAGCAAGGUCCUACUGGAUAGCACAGGGGGCUAUAUUCAGGGUUUUAUAACAGACUGAAAGGUAAUCUGCAAAGAAUGUGUAUAAAACUGAAUCGGUGUGCUACACACCUGAAGCCAGCUGUGCUUACUUCAAAAAACGAACUCUGUCAUUCAGGAUGAUAGCUGCUGCUGUUUUUGGGUGUUUAUAUCUUCUUCCAGACUGCUUUUUUUUUUUCUUUUUUCUUUUUUUAGGGCCGCACUUGAGGCACAUGGGGGUUCCUGGACCAGGCGUCGAAUCAUAGCUACAGCUGCCGGCCACAGCCCCGCAGAAUCCGAGCCACAUCUGUGACCUACACCACAGUUCACAGCAAUGCCAGAUCCUUAACCCACUGAGUGAGGCCGGGGAUCGAACCCACAACCUCGUGGUUCUUAGUCGGAUUCAUUUCUGCUGCGCCACAGCAGGAACUCUCAGACUCUUUCUUAGUGAGUAUAAAUGAAUGUGAAAUACAGUCUAAUCAGUGGUGGCUCACAUUUGGGUGUUACUCUUUGCCAGCAUUUUACAUGUAUGCACUCAGGUAAUCACUCAAAAUCCAAUGAUGGGUUUUAUUAUGAAACCUUUCAUACAGAUGAGAAAGCUGAGGCCGCGGCUGGUAAAGACCUUGCUUGAGAGCAUAGAGAUGCGGAGCCAAGCUGAGGCUGGAACCCAGGCGAUCUGUGUCCAUAGCCCGUGCGUUUAGCUCCUCGCCACACUGUCUUUCCAGAGAGUGGGGCGGAACUCUUCGUAGUGAUUUAUAAGCUGCUUUUUUUCGCUUACUAUUUUUAUGAACCCUUGGUGAUGUCGCUAAGCUUACAUCUAUAGCGUUAUUCACCUUGGCUGUGUUGUGAUCUGUCCAUCCUUCAACUGGAAUUCUGAUCUCCUCUGUGGCCAUUUUGAGGAAUAAUAAUAACUAUUAAAAAUGAACAUUGAGGCUCUGAGCCUGGUGCUGUGCUAAGAGCGGAGUGCCUGUUACCUCAUUUGAUCCUCUUAGGGACGAAGGCUUUGUGUAGAAAAACAAGCUAGGGAGGAUCGGGGUAAAUUUUCCGGGUAUUGCCGUGACAUAACACAUCAACUGGAGAUUUUUGACCUCACUUUCACAUAAGGUUACAGAUGUAGUAAUACCUGAGGGUUUGUUAAUUUUUAAAACAACUUGUUGUUUUGAAAGAGUUUGACUCAGAGGAAGCUGUGAAAAUGGUACAGAAAAUUGCUGUGUACCUUUCACCUUGGUUCCCCUAAUGACACCUCCGGUAACCAUUGCAGGCUGUCAAAACCAGGAAAGUGACAUUCCUGUGAGCUCGGGUUCUGUUAUUAAGGAUAAAAUUUUCUUAAAAUAUAAGCACUUAAAAUGCAUCCCACCUGAUAAACCUAGUUCCGUAGAUCUGUGUUAAGUAGAGUCUUGGAGUGGAGAGGGCUUGGGCCCCACUGCUGCCUCAAAGAGGUGAACACUGUUUGAGCUCCAUCAGCAGGUAAGGGUUGGAGGUCAGAGAGGUUAAGUCACUUGCACGAGGUCACACAGCUGUCGAGCUGGGAUUUCAAGCGCUCCGAUUCUCAAAUCUGCACAGAGGCCCCCACCCUCCCCAGCAUCACUUUAGGCUUGUUACUUUGUGUGGUGAGGCUGUGAGUAUAAGUAGGUGUGUGUCAACACACACACAGGAACACACAGCAGACGUGGCCCUACACUCCAGAGCUGGAGCCGGAGAGGACGUGGAGGGCAUUUCUUCCUGCUCCUUGUGGAGUAGGGAGCAUCUGCGUGCCCCGUGUUGCCCCAUCCCCUGGGUCUCCACGGGCUCAGCUUCCUCCUGGAGGCGCCUGGACCGUCAUGGGCCGAGCCUCCUGGCUUUGCCUGCUCUGCCCUGGCUUCUCCCAUCUGCCCACCCCGUGCCUCUCAGCCAGUGGCUGGGACUCCAGGGAAGAGAAAAAGGCACGUGUGUAGGGAAGAUUCCAGAAAUACCAUUUUGCUACAGUCCUGUCAAGUAGGAAGAGAUCGCCCCCCGCCCCAGUCGGGCGCUCUCUGUCACUGCCUUCUCUCCCACUCUCCUGCAGAGCUUGAGCGGCCAGCUCCCCCCACUUAUGUCAUCCCCAGGACAGACACCACACACCCCCAUGCACCUUCCCAACCACAGCCAUGCUGGGAACUGAAGACGUGUAUUUCUGGAAGACGUCAGGGUCCCGACGAGUUGACCCCUAGAUUUGGUGCGUGGAGCUGUCGGAGGGCAGAGCAGGAUUGUCCCAGAUCCCCCCAGCCCCACCCCCUCUUCAGACGUCCUGGAUGUGGCUGCCGCUCUUAGGGGACCUUCAGUCUUGGGUGUCUGUAGGUGGGAAAGAGCGUCUGGUGGCCUGCAGGGACCUCCCGAGCAUUUGGGACCAAGGCCUUGCUUGCUGAAGCUUCUGGCCAUUCUUGGUGGGGAAAGGAUCUGGAGCUGGGGGCCACACCUGGGGGGGCCGGGGGUGGAGAAGAUUCCUUUGUAGGGCUCCGUCUGAGCCAGCUGAGCACCGGGCUGUGAGUUAGGCACUGGUUGCUAAAGAGCAUCCCCCCUCUAAACGAGUCCUCGGCCGGGUCCCGUUCCCGGCAUCCUCUCGGGCCCUCGGAGGUGGGACUGCCUCUCCAGCUGGGAGGAUGGAGAGCCAGGAAUUCUCUUGCCUUCCCCUUGGACCUGCCCUUGAUUAACUUCGCAAUGCUCCAUCCACACCCUGACCUCUGGUAUGCGGGGUGGACAGCUGCUCUCCCCAAACAGAGGUGCUACUGGAAGAACAUUCCAGGCCAAUAGGUAACAGGUGCCUACCAGAGAGAGUCUUUGUGGCAGGGGCACCUAAAUGAGGGUAAGAGCGGUUGAGUUGCCCUGGUGUGGAAUGGAGAUGGCCUAUGGUGGUUUCUCUUCAGGUCAAAGACAUCUUUUGCCUUUUACUAAAGAUAUCCAUGGAGCCAGCAUUCUGAGUUUAAUCAGGUUUUUGAGGCCCUUCCUUGGCAGGGCUAG